Molecule: ribosomal RNA, 253 nt
Filed under: uncultured bacterium
Lineage: Bacteria
Description: partial 16S ribosomal RNA
Rfam family: Bacterial small subunit ribosomal RNA
Source: RNAcentral
UACGGAGGGUGCAAGCGUUAAUCGGAAUUACUGGGCGUAAAGCGUGCGCAGGCGGUUUGUUAAGUCCGUUGUGAAAGCCCCGAGCUCAACUUGGGAAUUGCAGUGGAUACUGGCAGGCUGGAGUACGGUAGAGGAAGGUGGAAUUCCCGGUGUAGCAGUGAAAUGCGUAGAUAUCGGAAGGAACACCAGUGGCGAAGGCGGCCUUCUGGACCAGUACUGACGCUCAUGCACGAAAGCGUGGGGAGCAAACAGG